This 73-nucleotide transfer RNA is filed under the name Felis catus (domestic cat). It matches the Rfam family "tRNA". Rfam says of the family: Transfer RNA (tRNA) molecules are approximately 80 nucleotides in length. Their secondary structure includes four short double-helical elements and three loops (D, anti-codon, and T loops). The record is from Rfam by way of RNAcentral. Lineage: Eukaryota; Metazoa; Chordata; Mammalia; Carnivora; Felidae. RNAcentral also lists the same sequence under 1 other name.
CCCGGGCUGGCUCAGUUGGUAGAGCAUGUGACUCUUGAUCUCAGGGUCGUGAGUUUGAGCCCCAUGUUUGGUG